Molecule: antisense RNA, 69 nt
Filed under: Allokutzneria albata
Lineage: Bacteria; Bacillati; Actinomycetota; Actinomycetes; Pseudonocardiales; Pseudonocardiaceae
Description: Kibdelosporangium albatum ASpks TB sRNA
Rfam family: ASpks TB sRNA
Source: Rfam by way of RNAcentral
CUUCAGCGCGCCCAGCCGCACCGGGCGGUCCCGGUCCUGGCCGUAGGUGGCGAUCAGCGCCUGCGCCUC